GGCGGAGAAGGCAUCCAUGACGGGGCUGCAGCGCCUUCGUUCAGUCCUGACAGGGGGAAAACAACAGAGAGGAGAAGGAUUAGAGGAGAGGGAAGGAUGGGUCACGAGGGAGGAGCGCUGGGCACGGGUGCUGAGCCGGAAUCAUGCCGGAUCUGGCCGCCGGCGUGAUGAAGACCUCCCGGGCUAGCGCGGGCGAAGCUCUGGUUCUGCUGGACUCCAUGCGCUCGUUCCUGUCAGCCCAAAACAGAGGGAGGGAGAGAUGAGAGAAAGAGAGAGGGAGGAGGAGAGAACCAGAGGAGGAGAAGAGAAGACCGAGGCAUGGCCUUGGCAUGGGGUCGACCGGCAGUCAACGGCGGCGGCUGCAGGCUUCCAGGAGGAGCUCGGGAUCGAGCUCCUCUCGAAUUGGAGUGCUGGUUCUUGGAGGUUGCAGGGGAGCUCUGGCUGGCUGACUCGCGGGCGGGAGAAAGGAGAAAGCGGCGCAGCGGGUUGGCCAGAUGGGGAAAUUGAGGUGGGAAGUGGCGGCGCUGGAUGGGACAGGG
RNAcentral lists this long non-coding RNA (539 nucleotides) under Hordeum vulgare. Its description in RNAcentral is "long non-coding RNA (HVUL_LNC000324)". Lineage: Eukaryota; Viridiplantae; Streptophyta; Magnoliopsida; Poales; Poaceae. The record is from RNAcentral.